CGGCGACUGCUCUGGAGGGAAGUGGGUUGUGCGAGGACCCGCUGAUAGUCACUGCGAGAGACGCUGGAUUUCAGGCCCGUCCGAAGCCUCAGGCCGUCAGUUCUCGUCCUCCACGUCGAGCGGAGGUGUGUCGGUGCCAGGCGAGAGCUCCUGUGGCGUCUCUCAGCGGCUGCAGUGGGUAGUUGUGGAGACACACACCAGUCACGUCCUUCGCGCUGAAAUUCAAGGUCAUUUUUCUUUCUUCUUAAAGAAUUACUUGCCAUUUGGGUAGGAGUUUCGUGCACAACAUUAUUAUUUCCAGACACUGUUGUACCUCACAAACAACCCAGGAAAGUGGGCGAGUUGUUGCUAAUCCCAUUUAAGAAAGGAGAGGAAAACUAGGGCGGGGGUGUAAAUAAAAUAUGCAAGGUCACACCCUUACUGAAUUACCCGGGAGGAACUGUGCCGUCCUUUUUUAAAGCCUUUUAAUUUCAUAGGUUCUUAGAAAACCACUGGCUGUCAGCAUUAACACUGAUGGAAUGCCUUUCUUUUUUUUUUAAUUUUUAUUUAUUUAUUUAUGAUAGACACACAGUGAGAAAGAGAGAGAGGCAGAGACACAGGCAGAGGGAGAAGCAGGCUCCAUGCAGGGAGCCCGACGUGGGAUUCGAUCCCGGGUCUCCAGGAUCGCGCCCUGGGCCAAAGGCAGGCGCCAAACCGCUGCGCCACCGAGGGAUCCCUGGAAUGCCUCUCUUAAUCCUAAAUGUCACUCUUGAAUCAGGAAUUUUUAAAAGCUCCAAAUAUGGCUUUUCUUUUUUUUUUUUUGCCUACUCCUCAAUUACAAAAGCAUAAUUUUGAACUGCCACACUGGCCUUGGACUUUAGGAUUAAAAAAGAACAUAACUUUGAGGGGAAGUUGGUACAGGAAGCAGCCUAAGGAAACAGGGAAUGAAGGACUGGAUCAAAUGGUCUUUGUUGCACCCCCUCAGAUGCACCAAUAUCAACCAAUGCUUCCUCCUCAGCUCAAUCCCAGCUCUGUGAGGUUUGGGAGUAGGGGAUGUGUUACCUUUAUGCUUUUCAGGCACUAGUAUCAGCUAAACAGUGGACUCCGCUCAGAAAUCUGAGUCCCAUCAUUUUGGGAUCCCUCCACUAAGUUUCUAAAUUCUGAUAACCCCAAGUUCUUCCUUGUUCCCUUCCAGAAGGGCAGCGUGCAGAAAAGUCAGGCCUGCCUGCUAUUCUUUAAAGACUUGUUUACAAGGUUGGUCUUUGGCAUUUGAAAACCUGUAUGUCAGGUAAGUUUUCACCAUUCCCAGAACUGAUACUUGCUGUUCCUGAACUGUGCAAGCAAUAUGGUUUACGCUGAACAUCAGCUUUCCUUGUGGAGUCUGGAAUUUGGAUACAUGACAGGUAGAGAAGGCUUAUGUGAUCAGCCCUCAAUAAAGACCCUGAACACUGAGUCUCUAAUGGGCUU
RNAcentral lists this long non-coding RNA (1446 nucleotides) under Canis lupus dingo (dingo). RNAcentral describes it as "lncRNA (ENSCAFG00020004748.1)". Lineage: Eukaryota; Metazoa; Chordata; Mammalia; Carnivora; Canidae. The record is from RNAcentral.